This 240-nucleotide ribosomal RNA is filed under the name uncultured bacterium. RNAcentral describes it as "partial 16S ribosomal RNA". It matches the Rfam family "Bacterial small subunit ribosomal RNA", at positions 524 to 763 of the family's 1533-position model. The record is from RNAcentral.
UACGUAGGGGGCAAGCGUUAUCCGGAAUCACUGGGUGUAAAGGGAGCGUAGACGGCUGAGCAAGCCUGGAGUGAAAGGCGGGGGCCCAACCCCUGGACUGCUCUGGGAACUGCCUGGCUGGAGUGCAGGAGAGGUAAGUGGAAUUCCUAGUGUAGCGGUGAAAUGCGUAGAUAUUAGGAGGAACACCAGUGGCGAAGGCGGCUUACUGGACUGUAACUGACGUUGAGGCUCGAAAGCGUG